This 729-nucleotide ribosomal RNA is filed under the name uncultured Glomeromycotina. Its description in RNAcentral is "SSU rRNA". It matches the Rfam family "Eukaryotic small subunit ribosomal RNA", at positions 373 to 1103 of the family's 1831-position model. The record is from RNAcentral. Lineage: Eukaryota; Fungi; Glomeromycota.
GGGCACGACACCGGAGAGGGAGCCUGAGAAACGGCUACCACAUNNAAGGAUGGCAGCAGGCGCGCAAAUUACCCAAUCCCGACACGGGGAGGUAGUGACAAUAAAUAACAAUACGGGGUUCUUUAGGAUCUCGUAAUUGGAAUGAGUACAAUUUAAAUCUCUUAACGAGGAACAAUUGGAGGGCAAGUCUGGUGCCAGCAGCCGCGGUAAUUCCAGCUCCAAUAGCGUAUAUUAAAGUUGUUGCAGUUAAAAAGCUCGUAGUUGAAUUUCGGGGUUAGUAGGUUGGUCAUGCCUCUGGUAUGUACUGGUCUCACUGAUUCCUCCUUCCUUAUGAACCGUAAUGCCAUUAAUUUGGUGUUGCGGGGAAUUUGGACUGUUACUUUGAAAAAAUUAGAGUGUUUAAAGCAAGCUAACGCUUGAAUACAUUAGCAUGGAAUAAUGAAAUAGGACGUUCGAUCUUAUUUUGUUGGUUUCUAGGAUUGACGUAAUGAUUAAUAGGGAUAGUUGGGGGCAUUAGUAUUCAAUUGUCAGAGGUGAAAUUCUUGGAUUUAUUGAAGACUAACUACUGCGAAAGCAUUUGCCAAGGAUGUUUUCAUUAAUCAAGAACGAAAGUUAGGGGAUCGAAGACGAUCAGAUACCGUCGUAGUCUUAACCAUAAACUAUGCCGACUAGGGAUCGGAUGAUGUUAAUUUUUUAAUGACUCAUUCGGCGCCUUACGGGAAACCAAAG